GAUAACCGUGGUAAUUCUAGAGCUAAUACAUGCUGGUUAGCCUGACUUUUAGGAAGGGCUGUAUUUAUUAGAUAACAAAUCAAUAUUCCCCGUGUCUAUUGUGAUGACUCAUAAUAACUGAUCGAAUCGCAUGGACUUUGUCCGCGAUACAUCAUUCAAGUUUCUGCCCCAUCAGCUUUCGAUGGUAGUGUAUUGGACUACCAUGGCUUUAACGGGUAACGGAGGAUUAGGGUUCGAUUCCGGAGAGGGAGCCUGAGAAACGGCUACCACAUCUAAGGAAGGCAGCAGGCGCGUAAAUUACCCAAUCCUGACUCAGGGAGGUAGUGACAAGAAAUAACGGACCGAGGCUUUUGCUUCGGGAUUGCAAUGAGUAGAAUUUAAACCCCUUUACAAGGAUCAAUUGGAGGGCAAGUCUGGUAC
RNAcentral lists this ribosomal RNA (420 nucleotides) under uncultured eukaryote. Its description in RNAcentral is "SSU rRNA". It matches the Rfam family "Eukaryotic small subunit ribosomal RNA", at positions 142 to 567 of the family's 1831-position model. The record is from RNAcentral.